Molecule: small nuclear RNA, 93 nt
Organism: Mustela putorius furo (domestic ferret)
Lineage: Eukaryota; Metazoa; Chordata; Mammalia; Carnivora; Mustelidae
Source: Ensembl
GUGCUCGCUUCGGCAGCACAUAUACUAAAAUUGGAACGAUACAGAGAAGAUUAGCAUGGCCCCUGCGCAAGGAUAUCAGUGAAUUUUAUUUUU